CUAAUAAUUUUAAACGAAAAUAUUUGCCUGAGAACUACUGGCCACAGCUUAAAACUCAAAGGACUUGGCGGUACUUUAUAUCCAUCUAGAGGAGCCUGUUCUAUAAUCGAUAAACCCCGUUAUACCUCACCACCCCUUGCUAAUACAGCCUAUAUACCGCCAUCUUCAGCAAACCCUAAAAAGGAAUAAAAGUAAGCAAGAGAACCACCAUAAAAACGUUAGGUCAAGGUGUAGCCAAUGAGGUGGAAAGCAAUGGGCUACAUUUUCUUACAAAGAACACUACGCUACCCUUUAUGAAACUAGAGGACAAAGGAGGAUUUAGUAGUAAAUUAAGAAUAGAGAGCUUAGUUGAAUAGAGCAAUGAAGUACGUACACACCGCCCGUCACCCUCA
Molecule: ribosomal RNA, 392 nt
Filed under: Microtus thomasi (Thomas's pine vole)
Lineage: Eukaryota; Metazoa; Chordata; Mammalia; Rodentia; Cricetidae
Description: partial 12S ribosomal RNA
Rfam family: Bacterial small subunit ribosomal RNA
Source: RNAcentral